UAGGGAAUCUUCGGCAAUGGACGGAAGUCUGACCGAGCAACGCCGCGUGAGUGAAGAAGGUUUUCGGAUCGUAAAGCUCUGUUGUAAGAGAAGAACGAGUGUGAGAGUGGAAAGUUCACACUGUGACGGUAUCUUACCAGAAAGGGACGGCUAACUACGUGCCAGCAGCCGCGGUAAUACGUAGGUCCCGAGCGUUGUCCGGAUUUAUUGGGCGUAAAGCGAGCGCAGGCGGUUAGAUAAGUCUGAAGUUAAAGGCUGUGGCUUAACCAUAGCAGGCUUUGGAAACUGUUUAACUUGAGUGCAAGAGGGGAGAGUGGAAUUCCAUGUGUAGCGGUGAAAUGCGUAGAUAUAUGGAGGAACACCGGUGGCGAAAGCGGCUCUCUGGCUUGUAACUGACGCUGAGGCUCGAAAGCGUGGGGAGCAAACAGGAUUAGAUACCCUGGUAGUCCACGCUGUAAACGAUGAGUGCUAGGUGUUAGACCCUUUCCGGGGUUUAGUGCCGUAGCUAACGCAUUAAGCACUCCGCCUGGGGAGUACGACCGCAAGGUUG
Molecule: ribosomal RNA, 550 nt
Filed under: uncultured bacterium
Lineage: Bacteria
Description: bacterial SSU rRNA
Rfam family: Bacterial small subunit ribosomal RNA
Source: RNAcentral